Small nucleolar RNA from Phragmites australis (common reed), 139 nucleotides. RefSeq annotates it as small nucleolar RNA Z247. The transcript has a single exon. The record is from RefSeq and is a predicted model, not a curated record. Lineage: Eukaryota; Viridiplantae; Streptophyta; Magnoliopsida; Poales; Poaceae.
CCGCUAGAUGAAGAAGAAUUGAUCUCCUACAUCCUCUCCGACCUUGACAUGGAGUACAAUCCAAUCGUGACGAACUUGGUUGGGCGUCCAGAACCAAUCUCAGUUGGAGAGGUUUACUCCUAACUCCUCAGUUUCCAGC